This 436-nucleotide ribosomal RNA is filed under the name uncultured bacterium. Its description in RNAcentral is "bacterial SSU rRNA". It matches the Rfam family "Bacterial small subunit ribosomal RNA", at positions 62 to 543 of the family's 1533-position model. The record is from RNAcentral.
UCGAACGGUCUCUUCGGAGAUAGUGGCGGACGGGUGAGUAACGCGUGAGAAUCUGCCCUUUGGUUGGGGACAACGACUGGAAACGGUCGCUAAUACCCAAUGUGCCGGAAGGUAAAAGCUUUAGUGCCAAAGGAUGAGCUCGCGUCAGAUUAGGUAGUUGGAGUGGUAAUGGCACACCAAGCCUGUGAUCUGUAGCUGGUCUGAGAGGAUGAUCAGCCACACUGGGACUGAGACACGGCCCAGACUCCUACGGGAGGCAGCAGUGGGGAAUUUUCCGCAAUGGGCGAAAGCCUGACGGAGCAAGACCGCGUGGGGGAGGAAGGUUUGUGGACUGUAAACCCCUUUUAUCAGAGAAGAAUCAAUGACGGUAUCUGAUGAAUCAGCCUCGGCUGACUCCGUGCCAGCAGCCGCGGUAAUACGGAGGAGGCAAGCGUUA